CCUUGACCUUUGUAACUUGCAACCUGGAUAAAAUAGCCUUUUUUUAACAAACUAUUGCAUGCAUUAGGCACCUUCAGGAUACACGUAACAAGGAGACCAAAAUGAAGCAGCCAACAAGUGAUUUUAAUAUUCAAAUGCGAUUGAACUUGGAAAAUUACAAACUUAUCUGCUUAGCACACGUGACUAAGAAGAUGAAUUCAAAUUCUAGACCUUAUUUGCUUUGUUCACAUUUCCUUUCAAACAUAGACACAAAUUCACUGAAAAAUAUGGUUAUAAAGCAAAGAAGCUGAAUACCAAAAAAUAUGCAAACAAACCAAUAGAUUUACUGGCUGAGUUUGAGAUUACAUUAAUAGAUAUUGUUGGAAUCCUUUGUUUUAUUCCCUAUAGGAGUGUCUCAAUCAUUGUAGAGUUUGUAUGUAAUUGUAAUUGCCUUCUUCCUUCUGUAAUUAGUCUUCAAAUGUAUCUAGGUUUCUUUUUUUAGUUCUAAAAUUAUUGUAUAAAUAGGAGGAAGUGAUCAGAGUUUUUUUCACACAUAGAAAUAAAGAUUUUUUCUCUCAAAAUUCCUACUUCAACAGAUAUGCACCCUACAAUCCUUAAUAUGUGCAACUAUUGAAUCACAUUUGUCUCUACUUUGUAAGCUGUAAGAUUUCUUAGAGGCGAUUUUAAGUUUUCUGGAUUUUUAAUUUUUUUUUUUUUUAUUAGGGAGUGUUGCAAUCAUGGUGCAGAUUAUUGCAAGGAAUUACUUGUUUAUUGGACUUCCUGAUUAGCAAUAGGUCUAGUAUCUUUGAAAUUUUUACAACAAAAAAGAAGAGAAAGAGAACAACAAUAAUAUUGAUGAGAUAAUAACAAUGGUCAAUAUGAAGAAAUACCAAACAAACAAAAUAAUUGAUACACACAGACCCACACG
RNAcentral lists this unclassified non-coding RNA (907 nucleotides) under Hevea brasiliensis (rubber tree). The record is from RNAcentral. Lineage: Eukaryota; Viridiplantae; Streptophyta; Magnoliopsida; Malpighiales; Euphorbiaceae.